GAUGAACGCUGGCGGCGUGCCUAAUACAUGCAAGUCGAGCGAACAGACGAGGAUCUUGCUCCUCUGACGUUAGCGGCGGACGGGUGAGUAACACGUGGAUAACCUACCUAUAAGACUGGUAUAACUUCGGGAAACCGGAGCUAAUACCGGAUAAUAUAUUGAACCGCAUGGUUCAAUAGUGAAAUACGGUUUUUCUGUCACUUAUAGAUUGAUCCUCGCCGCAUUAGCUAGUUGGUAAGGUAACGGCUUACCAAGGCAACGAUGCGUAGCCGACCUGAGAGGGUGAUCGGCCACACGGGAACUGAGACACGGUCCAGACUCCUACGGGAGGCAGCAGUAGGGAAUCUUCCGCAAUGGGCGAAAGCAGGACGGAGCAACGCCGCGUGAGUGAUGAAGGUCUUCGGAUCGUAAAACUCUGUUAUUAGGGAAGAACAAAUGUGUAAGUAAAUAUGCACGUCUUGACGGUACCUAAACAGAAAGCCACGGCUAACUACGUG
This 497-nucleotide ribosomal RNA is filed under the name uncultured bacterium. RNAcentral describes it as "partial 16S ribosomal RNA". It matches the Rfam family "Bacterial small subunit ribosomal RNA", at positions 28 to 507 of the family's 1533-position model. The record is from RNAcentral.